RNAcentral lists this ribosomal RNA (445 nucleotides) under uncultured bacterium. Its description in RNAcentral is "partial 16S ribosomal RNA". It matches the Rfam family "Bacterial small subunit ribosomal RNA", at positions 338 to 795 of the family's 1533-position model. The record is from RNAcentral.
CCUACGGGAGGCAGCAGUCGAGAAUCAGUCACAAUGGGGGAAACCCUGAUGGUGCGACGCCGCGUGGGGGAAUGAAGGUCUUCGGAUUGUAAACCCCUGUCAUGUGGGAGCAAAUUAAAAAGAUAGUACCACAAGAGGAAGAGACGGCUAACUCUGUGCCAGCCGCAGCGGUAAUAGAGAGGUCUCAAGCGUUGUUCGGAAUCACUGGGCGUAAAGCGUGCGUAGGCUGUUUCGUAAGUCGUGUGUGAAAGGCGCGGGCUCAACGCGCGGACGGCACAUGAUACUGCGAGACUAGAGUAAUGGAGGGAGAACCGGAAUUCUGGGUGUAGCAGUGAAUGAGUAGAUAUCGAGAGGAACACUCGUGGCGAAGGCGGGUUCCUGGACAGUAACUGACGCUGAGGCACGAAGGCCAGGGGAGCGAAAGGGAUUAGAUACCCGUGUAGUC